RNAcentral lists this long non-coding RNA (1944 nucleotides) under Sarcophilus harrisii (Tasmanian devil). RNAcentral describes it as "lncRNA (ENSSHAG00000028433.1)". Lineage: Eukaryota; Metazoa; Chordata; Mammalia; Dasyuromorphia; Dasyuridae. The record is from RNAcentral.
UGCUGUUGUUUAGGAGGCAGCUAUUUUCCCCUCUCAAUAUUAGUGUAUUAGAAAAAAAAAUUUAGAGCCACAUUAAAAAAUACCCAAUGAGAAAAAGGCUACUUGAGAACAACAACAAAAAAAAUUUUUUGGGGGGGGAGGGAGUAGUAGCAUAUGACAUUAGUUUCUUUACUGGGCAAUAAUUUGCUUAAUUUUUUGAGGGACUGUGUCUCUAUGAGAAAUUGAACAAUUUCUGAAAACCAAGUAGCAAAUUCCUAUAUCCUUGAAGGUACUCAGACCUCUUGGAUUCUUAAGCACAGCCAUGUAUCACUCGAAAAAAUUUUGAUAAAAAUGUUAUCGAUGAAGUCAUGCUUUAAUUUUUGUAAAGCACUCAAGUUUUGAGGGAAAUGACUAUGUUUUUCCACUUCUUGAGCUAACUUUAUAACAUUUACUAUAUUAACCUAGAUAUCAAUCAUUUGUAUAUAUUAAAUGAUCAUAACGCAAUUACUGAAGAAGGCAAUGUAGUGAAGGGGGAGCCAUAACAAAAUCUGCUGGCUGUCCACCCAAUUUUGAAAUUCUGAGAAACAACCCAUUCAUGCUUAUGUAAAUCCUUGGUUUCACUUUGUGAGAAGCAAUGAUUAGGUCCCCUGAAAUAGGAAAUUUCUCUAGAAUUGCAAAUCUGGUGCUGAAGUCAUUUUUUGAUCAGCCUUCUCAAAUUCCCUUCUCACUCACAGAGCUUGUUUUGAUUCUUCACAAAAAAUGCUGGGGGGGGGGGGGGGGUUCAUUUUCCUCACCCUUGAGCCAUGUGAUCCACAUGACUGAACAUUUGAGCAUGUUUUCAUUUUCCUAAUGGACUACUAUACUUUUAGAGUACAUCCAGUUCUGUGCUCAGACUGACAAGGUCUUCUCAACUGUUAUUAUAAAAGUUGUGGGACUGAGUAAACUUUUUAAAGCUUAAAGAAGUUUUCAUUGUAUUUGUAGUAAGAGACACUCAAGCAUCUCCAUUAUGAGAAAAAACGUAUAUUUGAGUAUUUUAUAUUUGAUAUAUUUAUUUAUUGCAUCUAAAUUAAAAGGAGAGUCAGCUUUUUUUUAGGGAUUUGGGGUUUCGGGGGGAGGAUAAAAACUAUCAAAUUUGGAACAACAAUAAAUACAUUUUGUAAUGUUUCUUAAAUCCUUUAGAACUUAAAACGUAUACAGGAUUACUGAGGUAGAAAAUGCUCAAAUUUACAAUAUGGACAGAUUUUUCCAUUAAGUCCAAGAAAACAGAAAUAACACCGAAGAUUAGUUUAAUAGAAAAGAAAUAGCUCAAAUAUUUUUCUUCAAUAUAGAUACCUCACUUGAAAAUAAGGAAAGCACAUUGUACUUAAAAUAGUUCUAGUCAACAUAAAAGUUGUGUCUAAAAGAAUUUGCUGCCUUUGGGUUGCCUAUGGGGUUUUACAGUCUGUCAAUAAUAUAUACACAUAUAUUUCUGUGUGUGUGUAUGUGUAUAUAUAUAUGUGUGUGUGUGUUUAAUAUAUGUGUUUACACACAUAUAUUAUAUGCAUAUACAUAUUUGUUUUAAUUCAUGAAGUUAGAAGUAAGUGUUUAUCUACAAUAGUCAUUUACACCAAGGUAUUUCUGAUAAUCUUUGAAAACAAGUGAAACAUCUGUUCUGAAACUGUAGCAAAAGAGAAAAGGAAAACUUUGGAAUUAUGAUCAGUGCAUUCAACGAUUUAUACUGACUUUGCCGAUGACGUACAGUUUGAAGGUAAAAGUUGCUGUGGUUAUAUUACAUGGCACAAGCUGUCCUCUACCUCACAUGAAAUUAAACAAUAUUUUAUAUGGUUUUAGUAAAACCAAGAUGCAUCUAUCUGGGCACCUAGUUUACAAAUUUUGAAUUCUAUUUAUUGAUACAUGACAUACUGUGCUCUUAGCUUAUACCUCAAUUGUAUUUUGUGCUUUCCCCCCUUCCAUUUUCAUGUCUUG